GAAAAUUUUAUGUGCGCAUAGGCAUGAGCGCAGCUUCUGCACUGAAUCGUCUUCUUUCCAACAAGACCUUCAACUCCCAAACCCAACCCACAAGCGCCAAAGCCUUAACCAACACCAUCCUUGACCUCCUCAAAGCCAAUCAACUCCGCAAAGCCGUUUCCAUUCUCUUUGCAUCCCCUUACCCUGUCCCUUAUUCCUUGUACGCCCGACUAUUCCAGCUUUGCUCUUCAACUCUUGCAAUUGUGGAGGCUCGAAAGGUUGAAUCACAUUUGGUGACAUUCUCUCCGACCCCACCAAUCUUUCUCCUGAAUCGGGCCAUUGAGAUAUAUGGGAAAUGUAAGUGUUUGGAGGAUGCAAAGGAAUUGUUUGACGAAAUGCCUCAAAGAGAUGGUGGGUCUUGGAAUGCAAUCAUUAAAGCUUACACACAAUGUGGGAGCGCAAAGAAAGCUUUGGAUUUGUUUAAGGAUAUGAAUAAGGAAGGAGUUCUUGCAAAUGAGAUUACAUUUGCCAGCGUUUUGGGUUCGUGUGGUGAUGUUUUGGCGCUUUCUCUAUCAAGGCAAAUUCACGGGCUUAUCAUGAAAUAUGGGUUUUCUGGGAAUGUCGUUUUGGGAAGCGCGCUUGUCGAUGUGUACGGAAAGUGUAAGGCUAUAAGUGAAGCGAGGUUGAUGUUCGAUGAGAUUGAGAAUUCUAAUGAUGUUACUUGGAAUGUAAUAGUCAGGCGCUAUCUUGAGGCAGGCAAUGGCAGGGAGGCGGUUAUUAUGUUUUUUAAGAUGUUCCAAACAGAUGUUAGACCGCUAAAUUUUACCUUUUCUAACGCCCUUAUUGCAUGUUCAGCUAUGCAUGCGCUCAAGGAGGGGAUGCAGAUUCAUGGAGUUGCAAUUAAGAUUAACUAUGAGGAGAAUGAGACGGUUUCAAGUUCUCUUAGUAAUAUGUAUGCGAAGUGUGGGAAAAUAGAGAGUGCUCGGAUGGUUUUUGACCAACCUGGUGAAAAAGAUUUGAUAUCUUGGACUUCAAUAGUCUCAGCUUACGCAAUUAGUGGGAAAACAAGAGAGGCCAGGGAACUUUUUGAUGAGAUGCCUGAACGGAGUGUUAUCUCAUGGAACGCUAUGUUGGCGGGGUACACUCAUUCUCUCCAAUGGGAAGAGGCCUUAGAUUUUGUUUGUUUAAUGCGUAGGACAACUGAAGACAUUGACCACAUCACCCUAGGAUUACUUUUGAAUGUGUGUGCUGGUCUUUCAGAUGUUGAAAUGGGAAAACAGGUCCAUGGGUUCAUUUAUAGACAUGGUUUCAGUUCCAACAUCCUUGUUUGCAACGCCCUUCUUGACAUGUAUGGAAAAUGUGGGA
This 1344-nucleotide unclassified non-coding RNA is filed under the name Hevea brasiliensis (rubber tree). Lineage: Eukaryota; Viridiplantae; Streptophyta; Magnoliopsida; Malpighiales; Euphorbiaceae. The record is from RNAcentral.